Molecule: long non-coding RNA, 764 nt
Filed under: Homo sapiens (human)
Lineage: Eukaryota; Metazoa; Chordata; Mammalia; Primates; Hominidae
Description: non-protein coding lnc-MYO7B-2:19
Source: RNAcentral
CCCAUCUGGGCUACUAUAACCACAUGGACCAUCCCUUGCUUCAAUCAUAGAAUUCUUUCUUCAGAUCAAAGUAUAUUCAGACACUCGAUACAGUAACAAAAGCAAGCUAUCCUGGAAGGAAGAAGGAAUCAGGAGGCAGAGCACAUGGUUAAAGCAUGAGAUGUGAAACCAGGAAGAACCAGGUCUGAACCUUAGCUCCACCAGUGGUAGCUUCAAACCUUGGUCCUUUCUGAGCCUGCUUCUUCAACCGUAAGGUGUGACUACACUGAGCAGUAACAGCAAAACCUGAAAGAGAAUGGAUACAGGUGUUCAUUUCAGAUGGUACAAGUUUAACAAAGUACAAGAGCAACUUAAGGGAACGCUACACUUCCUUAGAAAUUAAGAGUGUGUGCUACACUGCUUUACCAGAGCAAGGCCAAAAGCAGCUUCAAUUAUGGUACAACUGUGUGAAGACACAAUGCAAAACCACUCAAGAAUGCUCACUCAAAUGGAUUUUUACCAUGGAACUCGGAAACGGGACCCAGAAAGUUGUUUUCUCAAGUGGAUGGAACAACACAAGCAAUCAGUAUCCUGAAACAGGCCCUGUUCCAACAAACUGACCCAGAAAGGUCUGGUUAGGAGGACAGGACCCUCACUAUACACUAUCACAUUUAAACUAAAAGGAUAUUAUGAAUUAUGUACACAUAUCAAGCUGAGAGGAAAGGAAAUCCUAUCAUCUUGCAGGCUUCCUAAUGAUCUUACUUAAAACUGAGUUACUGCAACAA